This 453-nucleotide long non-coding RNA is filed under the name Marmota monax (woodchuck). Lineage: Eukaryota; Metazoa; Chordata; Mammalia; Rodentia; Sciuridae. The record is from RNAcentral.
CAUCAGAAGCUUGGGUUGGAGUUGUGGCUCAAAGGUAGAUGCAAUUGAGUUGGAGAAGUCACUGCAGGCACUGGUUCAGAAGCGCCACUAUCUUUUUGAUGUCCAGAGGAAUAACAUUGCUAUGGCCUUGGAGGUUACUUACCGGGAAUGGCUACAUAAAGUAUACAAGGAGGUAAAGAAUCACCUGGAUUAUUAUAUCUCUGUGCAGAAUAUGAUGCAUCCAAAGGAACAGGAGCACGUCAUAAACUGGGUAGAGAAGCACGUGGUACAGAGCAUCUCUGCACAGCAGGAAAAGGAGAUGAUUGUCAAGUGCAUUUCAGAUCUCCAGCUGCUCGUAAAGAAGUCUCAAGCACAGCCAGUUAUGUAAAUGUAUCUGUCUCAGUUGAGACAGCUACGCACAAUUGACUGAAUAAAUGAAAACUAGUCUACACAAAAAAAAAAUAAAAUAAAAUA